This 253-nucleotide ribosomal RNA is filed under the name uncultured bacterium. RNAcentral's name for it is "partial 16S ribosomal RNA". It matches the Rfam family "Bacterial small subunit ribosomal RNA", at positions 524 to 776 of the family's 1533-position model. The record is from RNAcentral.
UCGAGAGGGUGCGAGCGUUGUUCGGAAUUAUUGGGCGUAAAGGGCGCGUAGGCGGUGCGGUAAGUCACCUGUGAAAUCUCCUGGCUCAACUGGGAGCUUGCAGGCGAAACUGCCGUGCUGGAGUGUGGGAGAGGUGCGUGGAAUUCCUGGUGUAGCGGUGAAAUGCGUAGAUAUCAGGAGGAACACCUGUGGCGAAAGCGGCGCACUGGACCACAACUGACGCUGAGGCGCGAAAGCUAGGGGAGCAAACAGG